CAGUCGCCGCGGUAAUACGAAGGGGGCUAGCGUUGCUCGGAAUUGCUGGACGUAAAGCGUGCGCGGGCGGUUUGUUAAGACAGAUGUGAAAUCCCCGGGCUCAACCUGGGAACUGCAUUUGUGACUGGCAAGCUAGAGUGUGGCAGAGGGGGGUGGAAUUCCGCGUGUAGCAGUGAAAUGCGUAGAUAUCGGAAGGAACACCUGUGGCGAAAGCGGCUCACUGGACCAUUACUGACGCUGAGGCGCGAAAGCUAGGGGAGCAAACAGGAUUAGAUACCCCCGUAGUCCCUGUCUCUUAUAC
This 301-nucleotide ribosomal RNA is filed under the name uncultured bacterium. Its description in RNAcentral is "partial 16S ribosomal RNA". It matches the Rfam family "Bacterial small subunit ribosomal RNA", at positions 509 to 807 of the family's 1533-position model. The record is from RNAcentral.